Molecule: long non-coding RNA, 723 nt
Organism: Numida meleagris (helmeted guineafowl)
Lineage: Eukaryota; Metazoa; Chordata; Aves; Galliformes; Numididae
Exons: 2
Source: RefSeq, a predicted model, not a curated record
UCCGUGACGGGAGAUCCCGUCAUCGCGAGAGCAUCGCUCCGUUCCGCCGCACCUCCUCUCUCCUCGCAUCCUCGCGUUUCGUAGCAGAGUGCUCUCUGUGAAAAUGAGGCGGCCCAGGGAGGUGCUGGAGGCUCCGUCUAUGGAGGUGUUGCAGAAAAGGGGGAUGGUGGCACUGAGGGACAUGGAUGAUUGAACACUGGAACAGAUUGCCCAGAGAGAUUGUGGAGUUUCCAUCCUUGCAGAUAUCCAAAAUCUGAUCAGACAUGGUCCUGGACAACCUGCUCUAGAGAGACCUUGCUUAGAGCAGGAGAAGGCAGAUGAUCUCCAGAGGUUUCUUCCACCUUCAGCUGUUCUGUGAUACAUUCUAGACCUCUGCUUAUGCAAAAGUGCAGUCUGAAGCCUCUACAACACUACUGCUCUCCACUAUUAAGUCUACUAACAGUAAUGCAAAGAGUUAAUUCCUCUAGGCUAGAUAACAUUAUUCUACUUCUUUCAGUACACAUCUUCCAAAAUGUGUUAAAAGAGAAAACAUUAUUUAUAAAACUAUAAAUUUAUAACAAUAUUAUAAAAGAGUAAUUAUUAAGUCUCAAUGUAAGUACAACUAAAUCUACUGUUACUGAUGCUUCCAGUUUGCUAAAAUAAGGUGCUAAGAUCAGAAUUGUAUGGUUGUCCCCUAAAAAUAAACACUAGCAACCUGAAUAAACAUCUAUAUGCAAUUUAAAA